UUGGCCAUUCGGCCUUUUGUGACUUGAAGCGGAGGAACCAAAUUAUUGGGGCUAAUCUCGCUGGAUUGGCGAGAGAGACACCUUCCAGUCUCAGCCCGUCAGCUAACUCCGUCGGCAUUGGGAGGAGAACUC
RNAcentral lists this small RNA (132 nucleotides) under Oscillatoriales cyanobacterium. RNAcentral describes it as "c-di-AMP sequence". It matches the Rfam family "c-di-AMP riboswitch aptamer (ydaO/yuaA leader)". From Rfam's summary of the family: This family represents a conserved RNA structure found upstream of the ydaO and yuaA genes in Bacillus subtilis and related genes in other bacteria. The ydaO/yuaA element is thought to act as a genetic "off" switch for the ydaO and yuaA genes in its native state. The record is from RNAcentral. Lineage: Bacteria; Bacillati; Cyanobacteriota; Cyanophyceae; Oscillatoriales. RNAcentral also lists the same sequence under 1 other name.